This 220-nucleotide unclassified non-coding RNA is filed under the name plant metagenome. Its description in RNAcentral is "partial contains small subunit ribosomal RNA, internal transcribed spacer 1, and 5.8S ribosomal RNA". The record is from RNAcentral.
UUUCCGUAGGUGAACCUGCGGAAGGAUCAUUACAGAGUUCUUUACCUCACAGGUCGAUCUCCCACCCUUGAAUAUUUAUACCCUAGUUGCUUUGGCAGGCCGUGGAAACACCAUGGGCCCCGGCUUAUGCGUGCCUGCCAGAGGAAACAAACUCUGUUUUUAGUGAUGUCUGAGUACUAUAUAAUAGUUAAAACUUUCAACAACGGAUCUCUUGGUUCUG